Molecule: transfer RNA, 74 nt
Organism: Vitrella brassicaformis
Lineage: Eukaryota; Vitrellaceae
Rfam family: tRNA
About the family: Transfer RNA (tRNA) molecules are approximately 80 nucleotides in length. Their secondary structure includes four short double-helical elements and three loops (D, anti-codon, and T loops). Further hydrogen bonds mediate the characteristic L-shaped molecular structure. tRNAs have two regions of fundamental functional importance: the anti-codon, which is responsible for specific mRNA codon recognition, and the 3' end, to which the tRNAs corresponding amino acid is attached (by aminoacyl-tRNA synthetases). tRNAs cope with the degeneracy of the genetic code in two manners: having more than one tRNA (with a specific anti-codon) for a particular amino acid; and 'wobble' base-pairing, i.e. permitting non-standard base-pairing at the 3rd anti-codon position.
Source: Rfam
GAGCCCGUAGCUCAGUGGACUAGAGCAGGUGGCUACGGACCACAAGGUCGGGGGUUCGACUCCCUCCGGGCUUA